This 85-nucleotide transfer RNA is filed under the name Felis catus (domestic cat). It matches the Rfam family "tRNA". From Rfam's summary of the family: Transfer RNA (tRNA) molecules are approximately 80 nucleotides in length. Their secondary structure includes four short double-helical elements and three loops (D, anti-codon, and T loops). Lineage: Eukaryota; Metazoa; Chordata; Mammalia; Carnivora; Felidae. RNAcentral also lists the same sequence under 3 other names. The record is from Rfam by way of RNAcentral.
ACCUGGUUGGCUCAGUCGGUUGAGCUUCUGACUUCAGCUCAGGUCCUGAUCUUGCAGUUUGUGAGUUUGAGCCCCACAUUGGGCU